GGCGGCGGUCGCCUCACAGCUGUCUCCUCCCCAAGAUGGCGGCGCCACGCUUCAGAGGGAUGCGGUCCCUCAGGGCCUUUCUCGGUGCCAUUGGGCGGCGUUUUGCCAUAAUUAAACGUCUUCCUAAGCACUACACAACGGUGCCACACGGCCCAGCUGUGGUGGCAUGGGUCAGUGUGUGUGCCAAGUGUGCGGGCUACGAGGGCUGUCUCAAAUGGCCACCGGCCCUGCUUCAGCUCCUCCAUCCUGUUGUCUCAGGAGGCCAUCAGGUCUCUGUUUUAACCUGGUUUCACCAACAGAAGCCAUCCUGAAGCAGAAGCCACAGUGCAGAGCUUUCCGUUGGGCUUUGUGCACGCAUCGAAGUUCUGUUCAAACGUAGCAUAGCCAUGUGGCAAGUGCCCCCCGUAUAACAUACUUCAGUGAAACAAAAUAAAUGAGACGGGGAGCACUUAAUACUGGAAGCGCAUGCCCGGAGCGGUUUCACAAACCAGCAGGAUUUGGUGCAGCUCGUGCAUGGGGACGGGACCUCAGGGCCCCCUGCUCCAGCAGCUGCCCUGGCACCGGGCAGAGCUGGCACCGCGCCUGGGAGGCCCCUUGCAGAGGCCGGGCACCAGCUGCUCCUCCUGCACUGCUGGCGGGUGGCUGAGCACAACUGCAUCUCCUGUGGGAUCCAGACAGCCGCCCGGGUUCAUCGGCUGUAGGAGAAGCUCAGACAUGUUUGAUCCAGAAAACUGGAAAGGCCUGGAGUCCUGCAGGGCAGGGCUGUUUCUCCACCAAGACCCCAUCCACCCGCAAGACUCCCAGGUAUUGACAGCACCAGGUCUAAGCUUAACGUCUUCAUCCAGGAGAACAGCUACCGCUCAGUUCAAGGCUUUCGAUUAAGACCUUAAAGCCCUAGCUUAAUGUGCAGCGACCUUGCCUGACCCAUUAAAGAAAACCAAACAGAAAGACUCUCUACAAUCAACAUCUCUGCUGACAUCUUAGACCUUCAACCUUGUUGUUCAGCUGCCUGAUCCCAGGAGACUCCUAGAUGAGGCUUACCUGCUAAUGUAGCCCAGCUGUACGUGCUUCUUUGUCCUAACAAAUUUCUGCAGGAAUCAAGCAGGUUUCUAAUGUUGUUACUGUCUGCCUUAUUUCCUCUUCUAAGAGCUGGUUGCAUAACGCUUCCUAUCAUUCUCACAGAAAAUUCAUCUCUAUAAGACUAUAAGGAGGUGUUCGGGAAUUUUACCCGUAAGGGGAUGUACAUAGAGACUUUAAUAUGCAUAAGUCUUUGGAGCAUUUUCUCCUUAGGAGCAAAUGGGAGAUAUUUAAAUACACAUAAUUCUCUGCUGGGAAGUCAGAAGGCUGAUGUAAGUGGCACAGACUUUAUAGCUGUGAAUGAUGGUGCCGGGACUCCCUCCUGGAACAAUUAUCUGGGGAGACUUCUUACACCUCUACAGCAAAUAGAAUGUAAAUUUGUAAAGUUUUACAUUAAGGCAAUCCAGCAAGUGAAUAUUUAAAUCAGCUCCAACUGAUUUAAAUGGGGCUCAGGAGAGUAAAGAUGGGAAACAUCAAAGACCUUUGGAAAAAAGACAGAUUGAACCUGACUUAAUAGCACUUGCGAUACGCUUCUUGGGCCUGAUCCUGCCCCGCUUCUCCAAAUACCUCCUCCGUGAAACCAGGGGAGCAGAGGAGAAGCAGAUGGCUGUAGAUGAGGUCUGAGGGAGGCUCCGUGUAAUUGUUCCACCGGAGGGAUUGCACAAUCUGAAGGCCCGAAAACCCUUCUGCAGGGAGGCUCCAAUGCCUCUGCUUGGACAAAGGAAUUUGCUGCUGGCUGGUGGGAAACUUUUGAAUCCCCUUAGUGCCUUGCCUGGUGCUUUUUUGCUCUGGCAUGAAAAGAGGCCAGUGCAAUGCAUUUGUCUGCUGCUGAGUCCCCUUGGAUAGCACCGUCUUCUGCUUCUGAUGCAGAGGGCUAGGAAGGCUGAGAAAUCCUGGGAUGUUGAAAUUUUUUUGUCCCUCCAGGGAGAAGAGAUUUGUUCUGUAAGGCUUCCCUGCACCUCCCUGUGCCUCCUCCCAGGAAUGAUAAAGCCCACUUAGCUCCGUGGGCCACCCUGCCUGCUCCUCUCUUCAUUAGCAGCUUGCCGCUGCACCAGGGAUCUUCCAGUUUAAAUAUUGAAUGAUAGUCUUUUAAAAUAUACAUUGGCAGGACUGCUGUAAUUCCAGCCAGGGGCUCCAGUGACACCGGCUGCGGGUUGAUUUGACUGACGAGGGGAAGGACGGGGCUGGUGGCCUGGGCAAGGCUGAUCCCCCCGUCACUGCUGCCCUUUGCCUGCCCUCUGUUCUGACACAAAUCCCGAUGGCAGGGACUCCUUCGUGCCCUAUUUUUACCCAGAUUUGAGGGGUGCUGAUCUGAGGGGCUGGGUUUCCCUCUGUUUUGUCUUCCCUCCCUCGAAUCUCACCUCCCUGAGGAUCUUUCCUCCCCUUUUUGCUGUUUCUCUGCUUGCUCAGUGCAGCCCCGUGUGCGUGCACAGGGCAGACAGCGCUGAUCUUCCCCGAGGCUCGCACCCGCCUGCAGAUGAUGUCCUUGUGGAACAGAUGCAAGCCAGAGGCACGGAAACGGGCAAGCUUCCACGUGCGGGGUUACGGGCUGAAACAACCACUGGCGCUCCAGAUGAACCUCCAAAAAACCCCAGCAACCCAGCGCUUCCCAGUGCAACGCUGCCCACAGCCCCAGAGCAGCUGGGAAGCAGGCUGGGCCCAAUCCCUCAAGGCACCCUGCAGGAUGGGGUUUUCCUACUCCCAGGGAGGAAUUCUCCCCUCUCUCUUUGCCCCAGGCUUUGCACCAGUCCUGGUGUGUCUGCAGGGGAGCUGCCUGAAUGCCAUCAGGACCAGGCUGCCGAGGACACAGGAACAUUCCCAGGCUGGGAUGAUUCACAGGAGGGGCACCCGGCAGGGACUCAAGGACUGCGUCCUCCAGCCUGGUGGGAAGGAUGCUCAGGCCACAGCGAGCCGCUCCUUGGUUGUAGCCUCUCCAGCCCAUGGGAAACCCACAGACAGGGUGACGCUGCAAGCGGAUUUCGUAACUCAGCCAGUGACUAAACAAAAAGGGAGCCUGAGAGACGAAAUGGGAAUGCUGCUCUCCAUCCCUCAUCCUGCCCAGGCUUUGGCCCUGGUGGAAACCAGCCCCAGUUUCCCACUCGCUGCGUUCUGCUGCUAGACCGAUGGCCUCACUGAUGGCCUUGAAACGGAAACUGGAGGAAGACGAGGCCGAAGUUAUUCCUGGAGGCUGAACUCUUGCCAUCUGCCUAGUGUGGAGCAGGGUUUGCGCCUGGGACUCUCAUGGGGCUGGUGGGCAACAGCUCCAGGCCCCUCACAUUGACAUCGUUCCUCUAAUAACGCUGAUAAAGUGAAAUUCAGGGCCAUGAAUGCAGCCAUUCACGGGUUUAAAAAAUGAAAGAAAAGUUUUUCCUUUCACUUCUAAGGCCAUCGGGCUUCUUAGUUUUAGAAAUGCCGUUUGUGCAUGCACACAUGUAGAACGAUGUGUCAGAAACAGGCAUAAGAAGAUUAAAAAAAGAAAUCUCCAACGCUGAAGUUAAAGCACUUAAGGAAUUGGCAGAGACUUCAAGAGCCGGUGUCUGGUCCUAAUGAAGUUGGUGGAAGUGCUGCCAUGGACUUCAAGGGGACUGUAAUUUGGCUGUAACUCAGUAGGAAGCUGAAGGUGUUGAUUAAUAAAUUGGAGACAAUGCAGAGGAAAGCUGCUAAACUUCUUUCCAACAGAUGUGCUGAAGAGGAGCCUGCAAGUCAAAAUAUGCAGGAAAGGAACUGGUUUCCACUCUAUUUGCAAACAGAACACAGGGAAAAAAAAAUAGCUGUCUGAUAUUCAUGUAAAACGGUGGAACUGGUAUUAAUAAAUAUGAAUGUAUUUAUGAGCA
Non-coding RNA from Anas platyrhynchos (mallard), 3911 nucleotides. NCBI's taxonomy places the organism in Eukaryota, Metazoa, Chordata, Aves, Anseriformes, Anatidae. The record is from RefSeq and is a predicted model, not a curated record.